Molecule: ribosomal RNA, 630 nt
Filed under: Triticum aestivum (bread wheat)
Lineage: Eukaryota; Viridiplantae; Streptophyta; Magnoliopsida; Poales; Poaceae
Description: partial small subunit ribosomal RNA
Source: RNAcentral
GUGUAUGGCCCUUAGCAAAAUAAUGAGAAAAUUGAAUUCAUGCAAGAGCUGGUAGAAAUCCGUGAGCUUAUUGCGGGCCCGUGGACAGUCAUGGGAGACUUUAACCUCUUUGUGAACCCGGAGGAUAAGAACAAUGCGCUUGUCAAUAGGACAAUGAUGGCGAGAUUUCGGGUGAAGCUAAAUGCUUUAGAGCUAAAGGAGUUAUACCUAAAUGGCUGGAGAUAUACGUGGUCUAAUGAAAGGACGGAGGUCACUUUGGAGAAGAUUGAUCAUGUCUUUGGUACGACAACAUGGGAAGAGUUAUAUCCAACUUGUCAUCUCACAGCUCUUGGAUCGGCCAUUUCGGACCACUGUUCGUUGCUUUUGGAUCUGACGGUGGACUUGUGCAUGGGGAAGAGAUUCAAGUUUGAAUCAUUUCGGCCGAAAGCACAUGGUUUUCAACAAGUUGUUGAAGAGGCGUGGGCAUCUAUCCCACAUGGUGGAAAUCCUUACGUGACCCUCGACCUGAAAUUGAGGGCGACCGCAAAAAGUCUACAAAAAUGGAGCGACGUGUUGAUACGUACAUUUUGCAUCAUGCAUUUAUAUCGAUAUUUAUUGCAUUUUGGACUGUUAUUUCACUUUAUGUCAUGA